This 497-nucleotide ribosomal RNA is filed under the name uncultured bacterium. RNAcentral's name for it is "partial 16S ribosomal RNA". It matches the Rfam family "Bacterial small subunit ribosomal RNA", at positions 28 to 507 of the family's 1533-position model. The record is from RNAcentral.
GAUGAACGCUGGCGGCGUGCCUAAUACAUGCAAGUCGAGCGAACAGACGAGGAGCUUGCUCCUCUGACGUUAGCGGCGGACGGGUGAGUAACACGUGGAUAACCUACCUAUAAGACUGGGAUAACUUCGGGAAACCGGAGCUAAUACCGUAUAACAUGUUGAACCGCAUGGUUCAACAGUGAAAGACGGUCUUGCUGUCACUUAUAGAUGGAUCCGCGCCGCAUUAGCUAGUUGGUAAGGUAACGGCUUACCAAGGCAACGAUGCGUAGCCGACCUGAGAGGGUGAUCGGCCACACUGGAACUGAGACACGGUCCAGACUCCUACGGGAGGCAGCAGUAGGGAAUCUUCCGCAAUGGGCGAAAGCCUGACGGAGCAACGCCGCGUGAGUGAAGAAGGUCUUCGGAUCGUAAAACUCUGUUAUUAGGGAAGAACAAAUGUGUAAGUAACUAUGCACGUCUUGACGGUACCUAAUCAGGAAGCCACGGCUAACUACGUG